Molecule: ribosomal RNA, 497 nt
Filed under: uncultured bacterium
Lineage: Bacteria
Description: partial 16S ribosomal RNA
Rfam family: Bacterial small subunit ribosomal RNA
Source: RNAcentral
GAUGAACGCUGGCGGCGUGCCUAAUACAUGCAAGUCGAGCGAACAGACGAGGAGCUUGCUCCUCUGACGUUAGCGGCGGACGGGUGAGUAACACGUGGAUAACCUACCUAUAAGACUGGGAUAACUUCGGGAAACCGGAGCUAAUACCGGAUAAUAUAUUGAACCGCAUGGUUCAAUAGUGAAAGACGGUUUUGCUGUCACUUAUAGAUGGAUCCGCGCCGCAUUAGCUAGUUGGUAAGGUAUCGGCUUACCAAGGCAACGAUGCGUAGCCGACCUGAGAGGGUGAUCGGCCACACUGGAACUGAGACACGGUCCAGACUCCUACGGGAGGCAGCAGUAGGGAAUCUUCCGCAAUGGGCGAAAGCCUGACGGAGCAACGCCGCGUGAGUGAUGAAGGUCUUCGGAUCGUAAAACUCUGUUAUUAGGGAAGAACAAAUGUGUAAGUAACUAUGCACGUCUUGACGGUACCUAAUCAGAAAGCCACGGCUAACUACGUG